AGUCUUAUAGUCAAUAAAUGAUAUGAAAUUGCAAAUUUUAAGUAGUAAAUAAAAAUACUAAGGCUU
Molecule: transfer RNA, 66 nt
Filed under: Schrankia costaestrigalis (pinion-streaked snout moth)
Lineage: Eukaryota; Metazoa; Arthropoda; Insecta; Lepidoptera; Erebidae
Description: tRNA-Cys
Source: RNAcentral